Molecule: ribosomal RNA, 253 nt
Filed under: uncultured bacterium
Lineage: Bacteria
Description: partial 16S ribosomal RNA
Rfam family: Bacterial small subunit ribosomal RNA
Source: RNAcentral
UACGAAGGGGGCUAGCGUUGUUCGGAUUUACUGGGCGUAAAGCGCACGUAGGCGGAUUGUUAAGUCGGGGGUGAAAUCCUGGAGCUCAACUCCAGAACUGCCUUCGAUACUGGCAAUCUCGAGUCCGGAAGAGGUAAGUGGAACUCCUAGUGUAGAGGUGGAAUGCGUAGAUAUCGGAAGGAACAUCAGUGGCGAAAGCGACUUCCUGGACCAAUACUGACGCUCAUGUGCGAAAGCGUGGGGAGCAAACAGG